RNAcentral lists this ribosomal RNA (253 nucleotides) under uncultured bacterium. RNAcentral describes it as "partial 16S ribosomal RNA". It matches the Rfam family "Bacterial small subunit ribosomal RNA", at positions 524 to 776 of the family's 1533-position model. The record is from RNAcentral.
UACGUAGGGGGCUAGCGUUGUCCGGAAUCAUUGGGCGUAAAGCGCGUGUAGGCGGUCCGGUAAGUCCGCUGUGAAAGUCGGGGGCUCAACCCUCGGAUGCCGGUGGAUACUGUCGGGCUUGAGUACGGAAGAGGCGAGUGGAAUUCCUGGUGUAGCGGUGAAAUGCGCAGAUAUCAGGAGGAACACCAGUGGCGAAGGCGAGUCUCUGGACAUUUCCUGACGCUGAGGCACGAAAGCCAGGGGAGCAAACGGG